This 378-nucleotide ribosomal RNA is filed under the name uncultured eukaryote. RNAcentral's name for it is "partial 18S ribosomal RNA". It matches the Rfam family "Eukaryotic small subunit ribosomal RNA", at positions 592 to 976 of the family's 1831-position model. The record is from RNAcentral.
CAAUAGCGUAUAUUUAAGUUGUUGCAGUUAAAAAGCUCGUAGUUGGAUUUCGGGUGGGACGCAGCGGUCUCGCAUUGCGUUUGUACUGCUGCAGCCCUCCUUCUUGCCGGGGGCGGCCUCUCGGACUUCACUGUCUGGGGGUCAGAAUCGGCGAUGUUACUUUGAGUAAAUUAGAGUGUUCAAAGCAAGCUUACGCUCUGAAUAUAAUAGCAUGGGAUAACACGACAGGACUCUGGCCUAUCGUGUUGGUCUAUAGGACCAGAGUAAUGAUUAAGAGGGACAGUCGGGGGCAUUCGUAUUCCGUUGUCAGAGGAGAAAUUCUUGGAUUUACGGAAGACGAACAUCUGCGAAAGCAUUUGCCAAGGAUGUUUUCAUUGA